AUACUUACCUGGAAGGGAUGAUUCUAUGAUCAUGAAGGUGGUUUCCCCAGGGCUAAGCUUAUCCAUUGCACUCUGGAUGAGCUGACCCCUGCAAUUUCCUCAAAUGUGGGAAAUUCAACUGCACAAUUUGUGGUAGUGAGGAACUGCGUUCAUGCUCUUCCCAA
Small nuclear RNA from Dromiciops gliroides (monito del monte), 164 nucleotides. RefSeq annotates it as U1 spliceosomal RNA. Lineage: Eukaryota; Metazoa; Chordata; Mammalia; Microbiotheria; Microbiotheriidae. The record is from RefSeq and is a predicted model, not a curated record. The transcript has a single exon.